RNAcentral lists this ribosomal RNA (2616 nucleotides) under Klebsiella quasipneumoniae subsp. similipneumoniae. RNAcentral describes it as "bacterial LSU rRNA". It matches the Rfam family "Bacterial large subunit ribosomal RNA". Lineage: Bacteria; Pseudomonadati; Pseudomonadota; Gammaproteobacteria; Enterobacterales; Enterobacteriaceae. The record is from RNAcentral.
GUUAACGAGGCGAACCGGGGGAACUGAAACAUCUAAGUACCCCGAGGAAAAGAAAUCAACCGAGAUUCCCCCAGUAGCGGCGAGCGAACGGGGAGCAGCCCAGAGUCUGAAUCAGCUUGUGUGUUAGUGGAACGGUCUGGAAAGUCCGACGGUACAGGGUGAUAGUCCCGUACACCAAAAUGCACAGGCUGUGAACUCGAAGAGUAGGGCGGGACACGUGGUAUCCUGUCUGAAUAUGGGGGGACCAUCCUCCAAGGCUAAAUACUCCUGACUGACCGAUAGUGAACCAGUACCGUGAGGGAAAGGCGAAAAGAACCCCGGCGAGGGGAGUGAAAAAGAACCUGAAACCGUGUACGUACAAGCAGUGGGAGCACCUUCGGGUGUGACUGCGUACCUUUUGUAUAAUGGGUCAGCGACUUAUAUUCUGUAGCAAGGUUAACCGUAUAGGGGAGCCGCAGGGAAACCGAGUCUUAACUGGGCGUUAAGUUGCAGGGUAUAGACCCGAAACCCGGUGAUCUAGCCAUGGGCAGGUUGAAGGUUGGGUAACACUAACUGGAGGACCGAACCGACUAAUGUUGAAAAAUUAGCGGAUGACUUGUGGCUGGGGGUGAAAGGCCAAUCAAACCGGGAGAUAGCUGGUUCUCCCCGAAAGCUAUUUAGGUAGCGCCUCGUGAACUCAUCUUCGGGGGUAGAGCACUGUUUCGGCUAGGGGGUCAUCCCGACUUACCAACCCGAUGCAAACUACGAAUACCGAAGAAUGUUAUCACGGGAGACACACGGCGGGUGCUAACGUCCGUCGUGAAGAGGGAAACAACCCAGACCGCCAGCUAAGGUCCCAAAGUCAUGGUUAAGUGGGAAACGAUGUGGGAAGGCACAGACAGCCAGGAUGUUGGCUUAGAAGCAGCCAUCAUUUAAAGAAAGCGUAAUAGCUCACUGGUCGAGUCGGCCUGCGCGGAAGAUGUAACGGGGCUAAACCAUGCACCGAAGCUGCGGCAGCGACACGAUGUGUUGUUGGGUAGGGGAGCGUUCUGUAAGCCUGCGAAGGUGACCUGUGAGGGUUGCUGGAGGUAUCAGAAGUGCGAAUGCUGACAUAAGUAACGAUAAAGCGGGUGAAAAGCCCGCUCGCCGGAAGACCAAGGGUUCCUGUCCAACGUUAAUCGGGGCAGGGUGAGUCGACCCCUAAGGCGAGGCCGAAAGGCGUAGUCGAUGGGAAACAGGUUAAUAUUCCUGUACUUGGUGUUACUGCGAAGGGGGGACGGAGAAGGCUAUGUUAGCCGGGCGACGGUUGUCCCGGUUUAAGCAUGUAGGCUGGUUAUCCAGGCAAAUCCGGAUAAUCAAGGCUGAGGUGUGAUGACGAAGCACUACGGUGCUGAAGUAACAAAUGCCCUGCUUCCAGGAAAAGCCUCUAAGCAUCAGGUAACAUCAAAUCGUACCCCAAACCGACACAGGUGGUCAGGUAGAGAAUACCAAGGCGCUUGAGAGAACUCGGGUGAAGGAACUAGGCAAAAUGGUGCCGUAACUUCGGGAGAAGGCACGCUGGUGUGUAGGUGAAGCCCCUGCGGGUGGAGCUGAGACCAGUCGAAGAUACCAGCUGGCUGCAACUGUUUAUUAAAAACACAGCACUGUGCAAACACGAAAGUGGACGUAUACGGUGUGACGCCUGCCCGGUGCCGGAAGGUUAAUUGAUGGGGUUAUCCGUAAGGAGAAGCUCUUGAUCGAAGCCCCGGUAAACGGCGGCCGUAACUAUAACGGUCCUAAGGUAGCGAAAUUCCUUGUCGGGUAAGUUCCGACCUGCACGAAUGGCGUAAUGAUGGCCAGGCUGUCUCCACCCGAGACUCAGUGAAAUUGAACUCGCUGUGAAGAUGCAGUGUACCCGCGGCAAGACGGAAAGACCCCGUGAACCUUUACUAUAGCUUGACACUGAACAUUGAGCCUUGAUGUGUAGGAUAGGUGGGAGGCUUUGAAGCGUGGACGCCAGUCUGCGUGGAGCCAACCUUGAAAUACCACCCUUUAAUGUUUGAUGUUCUAACGUUGGCCCCUUAUCGGGGUUGCGGACAGUGUCUGGUGGGUAGUUUGACUGGGGCGGUCUCCUCCCAAAGCGUAACGGAGGAGCACGAAGGUUAGCUAAUCCUGGUCGGACAUCAGGAGGUUAGUGCAAUGGCAUAAGCUAGCUUGACUGCGAGCGUGACGGCGCGAGCAGGUGCGAAAGCAGGUCAUAGUGAUCCGGUGGUUCUGAAUGGAAGGGCCAUCGCUCAACGGAUAAAAGGUACUCCGGGGAUAACAGGCUGAUACCGCCCAAGAGUUCAUAUCGACGGCGGUGUUUGGCACCUCGAUGUCGGCUCAUCACAUCCUGGGGCUGAAGUAGGUCCCAAGGGUAUGGCUGUUCGCCAUUUAAAGUGGUACGCGAGCUGGGUUUAGAACGUCGUGAGACAGUUCGGUCCCUAUCUGCCGUGGGCGCUGGAGAAUUGAGGGGGGCUGCUCCUAGUACGAGAGGACCGGAGUGGACGCAUCACUGGUGUUCGGGUUGUCAUGCCAAUGGCACUGCCCGGUAGCUAAAUGCGGAAGAGAUAAGUGCUGAAAGCAUCUAAGCACGAAACUUGCCCCGAGAUGAGUUCU